Molecule: unclassified non-coding RNA, 243 nt
Filed under: uncultured Tetracladium
Lineage: Eukaryota; Fungi; Ascomycota
Description: sequence contains 5.8S rRNA gene
Rfam family: 5.8S ribosomal RNA (bases 1-53)
Source: RNAcentral
GAACGCACAUUGCGCCUCCUGGUAUUCCGGGAGGCAUGCCUGUUCGAGCGUCAUUAAAUACCACUCAAGCCUAGCUUGGUGUUGAGACCUGCUGUCAAGGCAGUCUCUAAAAUCAGUGGCAGUGCUGUCAGGCUCUAAGCGUAGUAAAUUCAUCGCUAUAGACACCUGGUGGCCACUCGCCAGAACCCCCCCAUUUUUUAAUGAUUGACCUCGGAUUAGGUAGGGAUACCCGCUGAACUUAAG